GACGAACGCUUGCGACGUGCCUAAGAAAUGCAAGUCGAACGGGGGGAGCAAUCCCCUAGUGGCGAACGGUCGCGUAACACGUGGGCAACCUGCCUCGAAGCGGGGGACAACAGGGGGAAACUUCUGCUAAUACCGCAUGUGAAUUGCAAUGGCAUCAUUGCGUAUUUAAAGCCGCAAGGCACUUCGAGAUGGGCCCGCGGCCUAUCAGCUAGUUGGUGGGGUAAUGGCCUACCAAGGCGACGACGGGUAGCUGGUCUGAGAGGACGAUCAGCCGGAU
This 277-nucleotide ribosomal RNA is filed under the name uncultured bacterium. RNAcentral describes it as "partial 16S ribosomal RNA". It matches the Rfam family "Bacterial small subunit ribosomal RNA", at positions 28 to 313 of the family's 1533-position model. The record is from RNAcentral.